GUCCUUGUAGCGCAAUGGACAGCAUGUUGAACUUCUAAUACAAAGGUCGUGGGUUCAAAUCCCACUUAGGAUG
Non-coding RNA from Trichonephila inaurata madagascariensis, 73 nucleotides. The record is from the annotation of a GenBank genome assembly. NCBI's taxonomy places the organism in Eukaryota, Metazoa, Arthropoda, Arachnida, Araneae, Nephilidae.